This 305-nucleotide ribosomal RNA is filed under the name uncultured bacterium. RNAcentral's name for it is "bacterial SSU rRNA". It matches the Rfam family "Bacterial small subunit ribosomal RNA", at positions 28 to 334 of the family's 1533-position model. The record is from RNAcentral.
GACGAACGCUGGCGGCGUGCUCAACACAUGCAAGUCGAACGAUGGUGCCCUGCUUGCAGGGUGGAUUAGUGGCGAACGGGUGAGUAACACGUGGGUGAUCUGCCCCGCACUUCGGGAUAAGCCUGGGAAACUGGGUCUAAUACCGGAUACGACCCCCUGGUAGGUCAGGGGGUGGAAAGAUUUUAUCGGUGUGGGAUGAGCCUGCGGCCUAUCAGCUUGUUGGUGAGGUAACGGCUCACCAAGGCGACGAUCAGUAGCCGACCUGAGAGGGUGAUCGGCCACAUUGGAACUGAGACACGGUCCAA